CAGCAAUCAAGUUGACUCUAGUGAGUUAAACAUUAUUUUUCCUUUGAUGGGAAGAAUGAUUGCAGACCUGGUGUUUAACAGAGCUGAUUGCCGAAAAAGGAUUCAUAUAGCCGACCCCAACUAGUUUAGGAUUAAGGCUUAUCUUUGAAGGUGCACACUUAUCUUUGAAGGCCAAACAGCAGAAAUAUUAUUUAAUAUUUAGUUAUCUUUAAUCAACAUCCAACCAACAUUAACAGCUGAUUAAUAGCUUUUGUAUCACCUAUACAUCUUUUGUAAAAUUUUGUGCUUAAUUGAGUGUUAUUCAAUACUUAUUAUCUUUCCGGGGUUUGUGAAGUGUACAAGGUGACAAAGAAACAGUAAGGAUGGCAAUAGGUAGGGUACCCGCGAAAAUCAUCAUACUUGAAUUCAAACUUGAUUAAUAUUCUCAAAAUCUGAACCCAUCCCAAACUCGAUUAAAAUUUAUUCUUAACUAUCCAAAUCUGUCCCAAAAUCGAUUAUUAUUACCCGAAAAUACUCAAACCUGUUUGAUUUUAUAUAUUUUAAUUAAUAAUCUGCAUAAAAAAUUAUUUUUUUAUCAAUAAUUUAUAUUUUGAAAAUCUAAUAAUUUCAUAAAAUAUUUAAAUUCAAUUUUAUAUAAAAUAAAAAAUAUAAAAAUUUUUAACUAUUAUUAUAAAAAAUAUAUAUUUUAUAUUUAAUUAAAUAUUUAUAUAAACGAGUUCGGGUAACGGAUACCCAACAUGCAAAACUGGAACCCGUUACGGUAUGAUUCUUUAAACCUAAACUAGUUUCAAAUCCGAUUAUAUACUAGCCAAACCUAUCCUAUUAGGGUUCGGUCGGGUUGAGUACCCACAAAAAUCCGACACGUUGCCAUCCCUAAGAAAGAGGCUAAGACCAAAUGCUUAUGUUGUUACCUUAAAUAGAUUUGAGUGAAGAAGAUUUAGUUUAUGUUCAAUGCAUUUGAUGAAAUAUAUGUUGCAUUCAAUAUUGAUGUAAAAUGACUUAGAAAAACUUGACUUUUAGUGGGUAGGGCCAGGGUUUGUAGAACUCAAGAAUUAGGGCUUUAAAGUAACCUGGCAGAUCUGAUUUCCUUCAGAACCAGUAGGGGUUGUGGUUGGGGUGUGGGUCUGGUGUGGAAGGGGGGAAUACCAGCCCCACAACAACAGCAGGAUUAGAAAGAAAAAAUAAAAAAAAAAGGGCUUAGUUUCUGGGAUUUUAAUUCCAAAUCUUUACUUAGACUUCUAUUUGAUUUGGACAUUCUGAGGAAAGACGGCCUUUAUUUUACAUUUUUUCUUACUAGGAUUAUUAAUACAACAGACUCCUUUGUUUGACUAGGAUUUUUUUUUAUACAACUCAAAACAAAAGUUAGUUUAGGAACCCUAAAACUAGUACUGAACUGACAAAAUUACAGAAAUGCCCCUGCUGAAUGUGCACUGUUGAAUCCUACAGAAGUAAUUAAUCCAAUUUCCAUAUGGAGUUCCCUUAUUGUCUGCGUCAAAAAUGCAAAUAUGUUUUUCCUUUCCUGUGGAGCUAUACUUCCUCAAGUGUUAGUGAACCUGAGGUUUUGGUGGUGUCAAAGUGCAAAAGUUCCAUUUAGAAUUUUUUGGGAUUUCAGAAUAAGGUAUACCUCAAAUAUUUGAAGUUUAAGAGAAUGUCAUAAAUGUCUAUCCCCCUCUCCACUUUACCAUGCAUUAUCUGAUAAAUCUUUUGGAGCAUCAUUUAAGCUUCCAAUUCUUUACAGGCAUGAAAGAGCAAACUAAUUUACCAUUGUUUUACUUCUCUUUUAAACCAUAUAGCUUUUACAAUUAAUUUCAGUCAUCAUACAAGCAAAAGUGGUUCAAGCAAUGUGCAGGAAAAUUUUGGUGAAUCAACUUUAUUUUACUUGUCCAAUUUCAUUGCUUCCUUAAUUGUAGCACACAUGAUUGAUUUGUGCAUGUUUUUGUUGUUUGUUUGUGGGUAUAUGUAUCUUGUCUAUUAAUAUUAAUUUAUAGCUUGGAUGGCUAUAUCUGUUUCACCUUCGACUGGAUUCCUUCUGGGUGUCAUGUAGCUUGCGUGGACUUGCUAUAACUUCUACCAAUCAACACCUACAAAAUUGGCUGGAGAAAACUAUUUCUUUCAUGAUGGACGGGUUUGAUCUCUCUCCUAAUAUAGAAAGUGAUUUUAAAUAUUGUGUGCUUGGCAUUGAAAGAUUAUAAAAAUUGUAGGACAUGAGUGUUGGGACAUCAUGGAACAUUUUGAGGCCUGAAACGGUUGAGUCGCUCUUUUACCUCUGGCGUUUAACUGGGAACAAGACAUACCAAGAAUGGGGUUGGAAUAUUUUCCAAGCAUUUGAAAGGAACUCUCGCAUAGAGACAGGAUAUGUUGGACUCAAGGAUGUGAAUACAGGUGUCAAAGACAACAUGAUGCAGAGCUUCUUCCUUGCCGAGACACUUAAAUAUCUCUACCUGCUGUUUUCGCCUUCGUCUGUCAUCUCUCUGGAUGAAUGGGUGUUUAACACCGAAGCCCACCCCUUGAGAAUCGUGACUCGUGAUGAGAACACUCAGUUUGACAGAAAACAGGAUUUGCCAACCCGGUUUCGCGGUAGGAAGGAGGGUCGAUCAGGAUACAAUUAGUUUACGUCCUCUCAAAAUUUUGGGUUAAGCUACAUUGCUUCUUUUUUAGAAUGCUCAUGGUUUAAGCUCAAAUUCAGGAUAAUUCAGGUCUCCCAUCCCAUCAAGGUUGGUGGCUGCUACCACAUUGAGGAUUCAUUUCAACCUAAUUUAAGCAAGGCAGGCAGGUCUGAACUCUUGGGGAUGUCUUUUAAUUCGAACUCGAAUGAGCAUGUAGUAAUAGUAGUUGAGUAUUAGUUGUGAGAUUUUAAACAAACGAAGGUUGUCGUCUGUAACUAAUUUUUAUGCCUCUUAACAAAGCACAAAUAUAUGAAUCUAAUUUUGCAGAUUUGAGCUCUUAAAUUGUGUUUCGAUGGAGAAUUUGAAAAUCUUUUUCCUUUUGUCCACGGUCUCAAACAUAGCUGAAUA
Molecule: unclassified non-coding RNA, 3014 nt
Filed under: Hevea brasiliensis (rubber tree)
Lineage: Eukaryota; Viridiplantae; Streptophyta; Magnoliopsida; Malpighiales; Euphorbiaceae
Source: RNAcentral